This 253-nucleotide ribosomal RNA is filed under the name uncultured bacterium. Its description in RNAcentral is "partial 16S ribosomal RNA". It matches the Rfam family "Bacterial small subunit ribosomal RNA", at positions 524 to 776 of the family's 1533-position model. The record is from RNAcentral.
UACGGGGGGGGCAAGCGUUGUUCGGAAUUACUGGGCGUAAAGGGCUCGUAGGUGGCCAACUAAGUCAGACGUGAAAUCCCUCGGCUUAACCGGGGAACUGCGUCUGAUACUGGAUGGCUUGAGUUCGGGAGAGGGAUGCGGAAUUCCAGGUGUAGCGGUGAAAUGCGUAGAUAUCUGGAGGAAUACCGGUGGCGAAGGCGGCAUCCUGGACCGAGAUUGACGCUGAUGAGCGAAAGCUAGGGGAGCAAACAGG